UUUGAAGCUUGUUAUACUUCGCCGAGGUAUAUCGAUUUCACAAAUAUUUUCGUCUUAGUUAAGUCAUUCAAGAAUAUGCAUUUCCCGAAAUAUGAGGCAUUGCAUUUGUAGGAACCGCAACAAGGAUAGCGAAAGUGUAUGUGGCUUGUGUGUAUUAUUAACAUUUCUUUGUUUGUAUAGUGAACAAAGAUCCUUUUCACCGCUCGCAAGGAAGUCCGAAGUGUCAGUGAGGGAAAUACGUCUGCAAUGGACGGAAUUUAAACCUGUCGUGUAUCAAAUCCAUUAUCCGCUUCAUCGUUCGUUUUCAUAUGUUGAAAAGCUGUUUUGGUAUUGAAGAUGAAUAGCAUAUGUGUAUAAUUGGUGUAUCAGUCGAGACCGCCUCAGUUCUCAGACUUGAACGAUACCGAUCGCACGCGAGGAAACGUACUGUGUUACAAGCCUAAACAAUUGGU
Non-coding RNA from Paramuricea clavata, 452 nucleotides. Lineage: Eukaryota; Metazoa; Cnidaria; Anthozoa; Malacalcyonacea; Plexauridae. The record is from the annotation of a GenBank genome assembly.